AUGCUACAUGCUGAGACUACAAAGAUGAGUUAGAAUACAUUCCUGUCUCUCAAAAGCUCACCUUCACGUGGAGGAGAGACUUAGGCAAGCCCAUGAUUUCAGUUCCAUGUGGUCGAGUGAAGCCCAGUGAGACAGUGGAGGAGAGGGGUCAUGCCACUGCAGUUCCUCGCUAUGCCAUUCAUACAGAGCAUUCUCCAUGCUCAGGAGUCCAGGAGUCCAGUGGGCCCAUGAUGCCCAGGAGCUCGUCGAGACUCAGGGAGGUGCGGAAGACCUACUUAAAACCUGAGAGUCUCGAAUAGGAGAGGCGCUUUCAGAUCAGCCCGAGUCUUCUGCAGCGCACAGGAGCUAGUCGUACUGAAAAGAAUGAAGUUGGACUUGUCCAGGCGAGUUUCGGACAGUGCUGGGCUGCCCUGCUCUGAUCUCCUGGGUGUCUUCACCUCCUCUGGUUCCUAAGUCGGCUGCUGCACCAGCACCCAUCAAACUCUCCUGGAAGAGGAAGUGACAGCUCACCGGUAGCCUAGAAGGCCCCUGUGGGCAGAAGCAUGGACUUACUCCUCCUCAUGGAGAUGCGGCUGAGCCAUAUUUCCUUGGCACCUCUCUGGAACCUUCGACAACCACCACCUCAGACACUAACCAGACUUUAGGUCCAUUCCUUUCAUGGCUAAAAUGAGACAGUCCACAAUGUUGAUUUUAUUUGUAGGGGAUGUCAGGAUUCCAGAAAAGCAGACUUGGAAAGCAACAAAACGUUAACUUGCAGCUCACUGAGGCCCUUACACUUGUUCUGGGCACCUCUGUAUGUUAAAAGAAGUCCAAUAUCUUUAGCUGCUGGUUAUAGGUGGCCAUAUGUUUCUGCACAGAAAUGGGGCUCCCCUUGCUAGACUAAUUUUCUAAUUUUUCCUCAAGCUUCAUUGAUUCAUAUUCUUCUACUUGACCCUGACUGUCAGGACCAACAACACCAAAUAACACCAAA
Molecule: long non-coding RNA, 970 nt
Filed under: Homo sapiens (human)
Lineage: Eukaryota; Metazoa; Chordata; Mammalia; Primates; Hominidae
Description: HSALNT0317274
Source: RNAcentral